Molecule: long non-coding RNA, 1277 nt
Filed under: Gossypium barbadense (sea-island cotton)
Lineage: Eukaryota; Viridiplantae; Streptophyta; Magnoliopsida; Malvales; Malvaceae
Description: long non-coding RNA (GBAR_LNC003862)
Source: RNAcentral
UUUGAUGCUUCUAAUGAUGUAGAGUUGUGGACUAGAUAUCAUAAAAGGAUUCACCAAAUUGACAAUAUUUGGGGCAAGCUUCUUUUCCUCUGCAAAUGAGCUUGCAUAAGGUGCUUAAGCUUUCUGAAGAAGUGAGUUUAUCUCAUAGUCAACUCAACAAGUUAAUACAUAUGCCAUCAACAGAUAGCUAAUGUAAAACAAAAAUAAAGAUCCAAGAAGUUCCUCACCUUUCAAAGGGGAUUAGGAAGCACGAGAAUAUAAAAACCUCUAAACUGCUUCACCAUCAAUAUAAAGUUGCCACAGCCUCGAUUGCAAAGGAAGCCAUUAGUUGGAUCAAUGAAGCAGACAACUUAUGAAAUAAUAUAUUGAUCCAUAACCAGCAAUGCUAAAAUAAGAAGACCCAGUCUUCCUAACAAUUUACAAUGGACCAAUACCACUUCUCUUACAACAAACUACUGGGAAUUCUGGACAGUAGAGGACCAACACCCAUGGGUUAUAAUAAAAAAACAUUCACUUUAAGUUCAUGUUCUAUCAAAAGGUAGUAACUAGAUGCUGAAGUAGCAUCUAUACUGAUUACAUCACCACAAUUCACAGGGGCAUUUAUUUAACCUCAAUUUACAAUCAUAUAUAAAAAAGAACAUUUGAAAGUAUGAAAAGCAUAGCACUGAUAUAAACACAACUAUCGCAUAGAGAUAUUAAUAAAACGAGAACCAGGAAGGACAUGCGGUAUAAUUUUGGUGAAAAGCGUAGCAGUGAGAUAAACACAACUAUCGUCUAUAUAGAGAUGUAAACGGGUAAUAUAAUUAAACGUCGGUAUCAACUCAAAACCAGGAAUGACCCGAUUGUAUAAAUAGCUUUGAACAUUUUGGGUUAAAAUUGAAAUGAAGGAAUGUACCUUGUUCGUUGCAGUUGCAAUUGCAGUCUAUCAAAUGGGCAUGCUUCAAUUGCGAGCAGUAAUGCAUGGAUUUACAUAAAAGAACGAAUCACAAAUAGGCAACCGGAGAUGCAGGAGACAAGUAGAAGAGACAAUAAUGCCAAGACAGAAAGGGGGCAGAGCCGGGGGAAAAUAAAAUUAUAUAUAUCCCGUGCCAAUCCCCACCCCCCCCCCCCUAAAAACAAAGAAAAUUAAAAUUUUAUUAGGGUUUAUGACCUGCCAUGCAAGCGCACCUGUCAUGGCAAAGGUCUGAUAACACCAAAAUCAGUCAGUGUUUCUUUUCCCUCAAAAUUUUCACCUCUUAUGUUAAUUUCACACACUCGAUCCUUCGACUCUAAUAGCA